UACGUAGGGUGCAAGCGUUAAUCGGAAUUACUGGGCGUAAAGCGUGCGCAGGCGGUGAUGUAAGACAGAUGUGAAAUCCCCGGGCUCAACCUGGGAACUGCAUUUGUGACUGCAUCGCUGGAGUGCGGCAGAGGGGGAUGGAAUUCCGCGUGUAGCAGUGAAAUGCGUAGAUAUGCGGAGGAACACCAAUGGCGAAGGCAAUCCCCUGGGCCUGCACUGACGCUCAUGCACGAAAGCGUGGGGAGCAAACAGG
RNAcentral lists this ribosomal RNA (253 nucleotides) under uncultured bacterium. Its description in RNAcentral is "partial 16S ribosomal RNA". It matches the Rfam family "Bacterial small subunit ribosomal RNA", at positions 524 to 776 of the family's 1533-position model. The record is from RNAcentral.